AAAAUUUAGUUAAAAAAUAACAUUAGCUCGUCAGGCUAAAAUUAUUACUAAAGUAGUAAUUUUUA
RNAcentral lists this transfer RNA (65 nucleotides) under Toxeutes macleayi. RNAcentral's name for it is "tRNA-Asp". The record is from RNAcentral. Lineage: Eukaryota; Metazoa; Arthropoda; Insecta; Coleoptera; Cerambycidae.